Molecule: ribosomal RNA, 236 nt
Filed under: uncultured bacterium
Lineage: Bacteria
Description: partial 16S ribosomal RNA
Rfam family: Bacterial small subunit ribosomal RNA
Source: RNAcentral
CGGGACGGGUGAGUAACGCGUGGGUAACCUGCCUCAUACAGGGGGAUAACGGUUAGAAAUGACUGCUAAUACCGCAUAAGCGCACAGUACCACAUGGUACAGUGUGAAAAACUCCGGUGGUAUGAGAUGGACCCGCGUCUGAUUAGCUAGUUGGUGAGGUAACGGCCCACCAAGGCGACGAUCAGUAGCCGACCUGAGAGGGUGACCGGCCACAUUGGGACUGAGACACGGCCCAG